UAAACACAGAAUAACUUCCAACAAACAGAUUUAAGCUAAUAAAAUCAGUCAGGAUAGAAUAAUGAAAAAAAAAGAUAUUCAAGAGAAGCACAAACACAGUGAGCACAUGUAUUUAACCGAAGAAAUAACCAUGGUUUACAGACCUAUACGAACGAGAUUUUCACUAUACUAGAGGCUAAUCUUACCCUACCAAAAGAAUGAAACAUGGACUUAGUCACACAUAGCAAGAAAGAAGAGAUCAUGAAAACUAAAUACAUAUUUAAACUAAACAGAAAAUGACUUACAAAAUGAUAUUUAAUUAAAAUUAGAGAGAUCGGAGGAUUUAACUUAAACUCUUGAGCUUCAAAAGUCCGCAUGCGUUGUUAAAAGGGUUCCGGAUGACUUUGAUUUAAUAUUCAAAUCAAAUGGGGACGAUUCGAGGGCUAGAGGUCGCUGAUGUGGGAUGAGGAGGGAAAGGGGAUUAUACAGUGUUGAUUUGGCAGAUUUUUGAAAAGGUUGUACUUUGGCUGGACUUUUCAAAUUAAAAUUCGAGAAGUUGUAUUGUGAUUCGAGGGAAACUAGUGUUUGAUCUGUGACGAGGUUGGAGAGGGGAAUCUAGUGUGUAAAAUUUUGGAUGUUUGGUGGCCGGCCACUGCCAUGGAAGGCGGAGCUGUCGAACUUCGGAGUCUUAUUCGACGCGAUUGUGAGACAUUUGAGGGAAAUAGGUGAUGGGGUUGGAAAGGGGAGUGUUAGGAGGUGAUAUGGUGUAAUUUUGGGGUUCAUUGGAGCUACGCCACUGGCGGCGGCGAUUUCCGGCCGGCGGAGAGACGGAGGGACAGGAGCGGUGUUACACCAGAGAUGUUAGGGUGUUUAGGAG
Molecule: long non-coding RNA, 856 nt
Filed under: Nicotiana benthamiana
Lineage: Eukaryota; Viridiplantae; Streptophyta; Magnoliopsida; Solanales; Solanaceae
Description: long non-coding RNA (NBEN_LNC028446)
Source: RNAcentral